Molecule: ribosomal RNA, 171 nt
Filed under: Parapercis millepunctata (black dotted sand perch)
Lineage: Eukaryota; Metazoa; Chordata; Actinopteri; Uranoscopiformes; Pinguipedidae
Description: partial 12S rRNA
Source: RNAcentral
CACCGCGGUUAAACGCUGAAGCCCAAGCAGAUGAGCUCACGGCGUAAAGUGUGGCCAAGGAAACUAUUUAAACUAAAGCCAAAUGCCCCUCAAUGCUGUAAUACGUAAGUGAGGCAAAGAAGCACAAUCACGAAAGUAACUUUAUUUUUCCCACCCACUAAAGCUUGGACA